Molecule: ribosomal RNA, 446 nt
Filed under: uncultured bacterium
Lineage: Bacteria
Description: partial 16S ribosomal RNA
Rfam family: Bacterial small subunit ribosomal RNA
Source: RNAcentral
CCUACGGGUGGCAGCAGUCGAGAAUCAUUCACAAUGGGGGAAACCCUGAUGGUGCGACGCCGCGUGGGGGAAUGAAGGUCUUCGGAUUGUAAACUCCUGUCAUGUGGGAUCAAAUUAAAAAGAUAGUACCACAUGAGCAAGAGACGGCUAACUCUGUGCCAGCAGCCGCGGUAAUACAUAGGUCGCAAGCGUUGUUCGGAAUCACUGGGCGUAACGGGUGCGUAGGCGGGUUCGUAAGUCGUGUGUGAAUGGCGCGGGCUCAACCCGCGGACGGCACAUGAUACUGCGAGACUAGAGUAAUGGAGGGGGAGACGGAAUUCUCGGUGUAGCAGUGAAAUGCGUAGAUAUCGAGAGGAACACUCGUGGCGAAGGCGGGUUCCUGGACAUCAACUGACGCUGAGGCACGAAGGCCAGGGGAGCGAAAGGGAUUAGAUACCCGGGUAGUC